UACGUAGGGUGCAAGCGUUAAUCGGAAUUACUGGGCGUAAAGCGUGCGCAGGCGGUUGUGCAAGACCGAUGUGAAAUCCCCGGGCUCAACCUGGGAAUGGCAUUGGUGACUGCACGGCUAGAGUGUGUCAGAGGGGGGUAGAAUUCCACGUGUAGCAGUGAAAUGCGUAGAGAUGUGGAGGAAUACCGAUGGCGAAGGCAGCCCCCUGGGAUAACACUGACGCUCAUGCACGAAAGCGUGGGGAGCAAACGGG
RNAcentral lists this ribosomal RNA (253 nucleotides) under uncultured bacterium. RNAcentral describes it as "partial 16S ribosomal RNA". It matches the Rfam family "Bacterial small subunit ribosomal RNA", at positions 524 to 776 of the family's 1533-position model. The record is from RNAcentral.